AUCCCUUCUUUGCCUGUUGGCUAAACUCAAAUGGGGUAUCUCCUUACCAGUGAAAGCAUCUGUUGUAUUCUCCAUUUGUGCACUGGGCAUUAAAUUAAUGUUUGGAAUUAGGAGAUGAAUCGGAAGCUUGCUCUGUCUACUCCCAGCCUCAGCCUGCAACAGCUUUACUUCCAGGAAUGGUGAAUUCCUU
Small nuclear RNA from Myotis lucifugus (little brown bat), 190 nucleotides. Its record names the gene U2. It matches the Rfam family "U2 spliceosomal RNA". From Rfam's summary of the family: U2 is a small nuclear RNA (snRNA) component of the spliceosome (involved in pre-mRNA splicing). Complementary binding between U2 snRNA (in an area lying towards the 5' end but 3' to hairpin I) and the branchpoint sequence (BPS) of the intron results the bulging out of an unpaired adenosine, on the BPS, which initiates a nucleophilic attack at the intronic 5' splice site, thus starting the first of two transesterification reactions that mediate splicing. The record is from Ensembl. NCBI's taxonomy places the organism in Eukaryota, Metazoa, Chordata, Mammalia, Chiroptera, Vespertilionidae.